UACGGAGGGUGCGAGCGUUGUCCGGAAUUAUUGGGCGUAAAGGGCGCGUAGGCGGCUAGAUGUGUCAAAGGUGAAAUCCCUCGGCUCAACUGAGGAACUGCCUUUGAAACUGUCUGGCUUGAGGCCGGGAGAGGGUAGCGGAAUUCCCAGUGUAGCGGUGAAAUGCGUAGAUAUUGGGAGGAACACCAGUGGCGAAGGCGGCUACCUGGACCGGUUCUGACGCUGAGGCGCGAAAGCGUGGGUAGCAAACAGG
This 253-nucleotide ribosomal RNA is filed under the name uncultured bacterium. RNAcentral describes it as "partial 16S ribosomal RNA". It matches the Rfam family "Bacterial small subunit ribosomal RNA", at positions 524 to 776 of the family's 1533-position model. The record is from RNAcentral.